Molecule: long non-coding RNA, 240 nt
Organism: Gordionus sp. m RMFG-2023
Lineage: Eukaryota; Metazoa; Nematomorpha; Gordioida; Chordodea; Parachordodidae
Exons: 3
Source: RefSeq, a predicted model, not a curated record
UAUCAGAUGAUAUAUUUAUUCCCAAAGAUUCUGCAGCACUAAAUCUUAGUAAUGAUUCUGAAUCUAUGUCCUAUGUUGGGUCACCUAGUUAUUAUUAUAAAUGUCCUAAGAGAAAGAACAAUGAUAUGGAUGACUAUAGGAAAUUAAUGAAAAUUAGAAUAUAAAGCAUUAAUAACCUUGGAAAUGCUUAAAAAUAAAUCAACAGAACGUGCAAUAUGUUUAAUGUUAAAAGAAAAAUUA